AUUGAACGCUGGCGGCAGGCUUAACACAUGCAAGUCGAGCGGGGGAAGGUAGCUUGCUACCGGACCUAGCGGCGGACGGGUGAGUAAUGCUUAGGAAUCUGCCUUGUAGAGGAGGAUAACACCUGGAAACGGGUGCUAAUACUGCAUAAGCUCUAAGGAGGAAAGAGUGGCGCAAGCCAUUUGCUAUAAGAUGAACCUACGUCGGAUUAGCUAGUUGGAGAGGUAAAGGCUCCCCAAGGCGAAGAUCCGUAGCUGUUCUGAGAGGAAGACCAGCCACACUGGGACUGAGAUACGGCCCAGACUCCUACGGGAGGCAGCAGUGGGGAAUUUUGGACAAUGGGGGAAACCCUGAUCCAGCGAUGCCGCGUGUGUGAAGAAGGCCUUAGGGUUGUAAAGCACUUUAGGUUGGGAAGAAGAUAUGGAGACGCAAGUUGAAGUAUUUGACGUUACCAACAGAAUAAGCACCGGCUAACUCUGUGCCAGCAGCCGCCGUAA
This 495-nucleotide ribosomal RNA is filed under the name uncultured bacterium. RNAcentral's name for it is "partial 16S ribosomal RNA". It matches the Rfam family "Bacterial small subunit ribosomal RNA", at positions 30 to 523 of the family's 1533-position model. The record is from RNAcentral.